RNAcentral lists this ribosomal RNA (519 nucleotides) under uncultured bacterium. RNAcentral's name for it is "bacterial SSU rRNA". It matches the Rfam family "Bacterial small subunit ribosomal RNA", at positions 501 to 1016 of the family's 1533-position model. The record is from RNAcentral.
CUACGUGCCAGCAGCCGCGGUAAUACGUAGGGCGCGAGCGUUGUCCGGAAUUAUUGGGCGUAAAGAGCUUGUAGGCGGUUGGUCGCGUCUGCUGUGAAAGGCUGGGGCUUAACCCUGGUUUUGCAGUGGGUACGGGCUAACUAGAGUGCAGUAGGGGAGACUAGAAUUCCUGGUGUAGCGGUGGAAUGCGCAGAUAUCAGGAGGAACACCGAUGGCGAAGGCAGGUCUCUGGGCUGUAACUGACGCUGAGAAGCGAAAGCAUGGGGAGCGAACAGGAUUAGAUACCCUGGUAGUCCAUGCCGUAAACGUUGGGCACUAGGUGUGGGGGACAUUCCACGUUUUCCGCGCCGUAGCUAACGCAUUAAGCACUCCGCCUGGGGAGUACGACCGCAAGGUUGAAACUCAAAGGAAUUGACGGGGGCCCGCACAAGCGGUGGAGCAUGUGGUUUAAUUCGAAGCAACGCGAAGAACCUUACCAGGUCUUGACAUCCCUCUGACCGCUCUAGAGAUAGAGUUUUC